UUUGUUUUAGUAUAAUUAGUACAAAAAUUUUUGAAGUUUUUAAUAAAAGUUUAACCCUUUUAAACAAAA
Molecule: transfer RNA, 69 nt
Filed under: Mycterothrips gongshanensis
Lineage: Eukaryota; Metazoa; Arthropoda; Insecta; Thysanoptera; Thripidae
Description: tRNA-Gln
Rfam family: tRNA
About the family: Transfer RNA (tRNA) molecules are approximately 80 nucleotides in length.
Source: RNAcentral